RNAcentral lists this ribosomal RNA (449 nucleotides) under uncultured bacterium. RNAcentral describes it as "partial 16S ribosomal RNA". It matches the Rfam family "Bacterial small subunit ribosomal RNA", at positions 29 to 523 of the family's 1533-position model. The record is from RNAcentral.
AACGAACGCUGGCGGCAUGCCUAACACAUGCAAGUCGAACGAGAUCUUCGGGUCUAGUGGCGCACGGGUGCGUAACGCGUGGGAAUCUGCCCUUUGGUUCGGAAUAACAGUUGGAAACGACUGCUAAUACACGAUGAUGACGAAAGUCCAAAGAUUUAUCGCCAGAGGAUGAGCCCGCGUAGGAUUAGCUAGUUGGUGUGGUAAAGGCGCACCAAGGCGACGAUCCUUAGCUGGUCUGAGAGGAUGAUCAGCCACACUGGGACUGAGACACGGCCCAGACUCCUACGGGAGGCAGCAGUGGGGAAUAUUGGACAAUGGGCGAAAGCCUGAUCCAGCAAUGCCGCGUGAGUGAUGAAGGCCUUAGGGUUGUAAGGCUCUUUUACCCGGGAUGAUAAUGACAGUACCGGGAGAAUAAGCUCCGGCUAACUCCGUGCCAGCCGCCGCCGUAA